Molecule: long non-coding RNA, 714 nt
Organism: Alnus glutinosa
Lineage: Eukaryota; Viridiplantae; Streptophyta; Magnoliopsida; Fagales; Betulaceae
Exons: 2
Source: RefSeq, a predicted model, not a curated record
UUUCUUUCCUCAUUCAUUCUUGUCCUCCUCUUCCGACGAGAUACAGAGAGCAAGAUUGAGAGAGUGAGAGAUAGAGAACGAGAGGGUGAGAGAAUAGAGAGACCGAGAAUGAGAGAUGAAAUUGGGAGAGAGAGAGAGAGAGAGAGAGAGAAGACCGAUUGAAAAGGGAGAGAAUCGGAGACGCAGAGAGAAGCUGUGAGGCCCGAUCCUCCGUGGGUCUGAUUUCCGGCGAACUCGAGAGGUAGGGAGAGAAAUCAGAAGCCGAUUUCCGACGGGUCAAAGUGAUUUCCGGCGACUGGGUAGAAAAUCAUCCCUUUGAUGAUUUCCGAUGGGUGCGAAGUCCGGUGGCCAGAGACGCGAUUUUCGGCAAUCAUCGCCGGUGUGCCAGGGCUGUGAUUUCCGGUACAUUUCUUUGUGUUUGAGCAGAGAUCCUCUAGGAGAAACGGUUUCGAGGAUAACCGCUAAUGGACUAACGUACUCUUCUCAAACAUUGCAUAUCGUCCGAACGGUGUUGCCUUGUAGUCCGGACGGAUGCAUGCUGCGUUGGCAGAAUCUUCUUGACAUAGAAGGGUGUUCAGACGCUUCACUGGCCCGUCCGGAUGUGUAACGAUUCGCACUUUUACAAAAAGGCGUAAGUGAAAAUUCUGGUUUCCACGUAUUUUUAUGACAUCAUCAGAGUAUAAAUUGGCAGUGAAAAAUAAUUUUUCUUUACAA